UAGACAUUCUGAUACUCCAUUGUUUGUAUGACUCCUUGAACAAUGUGGUUCAGAAUGUUGU
RNAcentral lists this microRNA precursor (61 nucleotides) under Sarcophilus harrisii (Tasmanian devil). RNAcentral describes it as "Sha-Mir-12475-P20b_pre stem-loop". The record is from RNAcentral. Lineage: Eukaryota; Metazoa; Chordata; Mammalia; Dasyuromorphia; Dasyuridae.